GUGAACGCAGUAAAUCAAAUAAAGUUUUACCAUACACCUUCGGAUUCGAUCUGGACGCUCUCUCUCCAAGAACAACAGUCAUUCGCCUUCGACCCUCUCUCCCACUCCAGAAUCCUCAAGCGCUCUCCAGUCUCCACUUCUCGCGCAUCAACCCUCUUCUCCCCAACUUCAUCGUCAUCGGCGGAGUUCCCGACUCCGAUUCGUGAAAGCUCGGUCCUCCUCUCCCUCUCGCUAACCCCAAUAUCAUAUAAAGGUUACAAGUCAUCGGCGUUAGUUUUGUAUUGAAACCGUACAAUUUAAUUGGAAAUUGGGGGUUUCGAAUUUGCAGUUGACUCCGACAUAGUAGUGAAGCCGAUUGAAGGAUUCGUCGUGUUGGUGACGGUCAGUUGGUUGGUGAAGGCUGGUGGUCGCCGUCGUUCAAAAUCGGCUCAUCUUCGAUCUGGUCCAGGAGCUGACCUUCCCUCUCGCCAGAUUAUUGAAACCCCAAGGUCAAUGCUUCUCUCAGUUUGAAUACUAGAAGCAGCGGUUCCAAUUGGCUUCGCUUUUCUUGGGGUUGGAGUUGGGGGUGGGGGAUAACAACGGUGGAUCAGAUACUGCUGCGCUUUUAAUAAUAAUGGAGUAGCCUUGAAUAGUGCGGUGGCAGGCAGCCACAAAAAAGUAUUGAUUUUGAUGAAGAAUUUGGAGAUGAAUAUCAGAGCUUGGUAAUGCUCGGGAGACUUGAUCCGGCUGGUCACAAUGCAUGUUUGGGUAGUGAAACAACAUGGACUUCAAGCAAUCAGGUCUUGCGGAGAUGAUAAAAAGAACAGAUGAAGGAGCUCUCAUCAGUUUGCCUACCAUAGCUGAAGGAGUAGGUUCACCCUGGAUCAGGACAUUAAGAAGAAACUCGAUGGAGAUUCUGAAUCAAUACUUUGUUGUGUACUAUGAAAUACUUAUGGUCUUUGUUGUGUACCAUGAGAAUGCAUUACAAUUUGGGAUUGGUAUGUACAAUUUGGUAUUAGAGGUUCAGUUAAUUUUGGGUUUUCUUGUUCACA
Long non-coding RNA from Rosa rugosa (rugosa rose), 1031 nucleotides. RefSeq lists it as uncharacterized. The transcript is spliced from 3 exons. NCBI's taxonomy places the organism in Eukaryota, Viridiplantae, Streptophyta, Magnoliopsida, Rosales, Rosaceae. The record is from RefSeq and is a predicted model, not a curated record.